This 402-nucleotide ribosomal RNA is filed under the name uncultured bacterium. Its description in RNAcentral is "bacterial SSU rRNA". It matches the Rfam family "Bacterial small subunit ribosomal RNA", at positions 355 to 774 of the family's 1533-position model. The record is from RNAcentral.
UGGGGAAUCUUGCACAAUGGGCGAAAGCCUGAUGCAGCGACGCCGCGUGGAGGAUGAAGGUUUUCGGAUUGUAAACUCCUUUUGCAGGGGAAGAUAAUGACGGUACCCUGCGAAUAAGCCACGGCUAACUCUGUGCCAGCAGCCGCGGUAAGACAGAGGUGGCGAGCGUUGUUCGGAAUUACUGGGCUUAAAGGGCGCGUAGGCGGUGGUGCAAGUCUGAGGUGGAAUGCUACGGCUUAACCGUAGAGCUGCCUUGGAAACUGCAUUACUUGAGUCGGUUAGGGGAUGGCGGAAUUCCUGGUGUAGCGGUGAAAUGCGUAGAUAUCAGGAGGAAGGUCUGUGGCGAAGGCGGCCAUCUGGGAUUUGACUGACGCUGAGGCGCGAAAGCGUGGGUAGCAAACA